This 1259-nucleotide ribosomal RNA is filed under the name metagenome. RNAcentral's name for it is "bacterial LSU rRNA". It matches the Rfam family "Bacterial large subunit ribosomal RNA", at positions 1635 to 2889 of the family's 2925-position model. The record is from RNAcentral.
CAUACGACCGUACCGCAAACCGACACUGGUGCGCGAGAUGAGUAUUCUAAGGCGCUUGAGAGAACUCAGGAGAAGGAACUCGGCAAAUUGACACCGUAACUUCGGAAGAAGGUGUGCCCUAUUAGUGUGUAGUGAACAACGAAGCAUGAAUGGGUUGCAAAAAAUCGGUGGCUGCGACUGUUUAUUAAAAACACAGCACUCUGCAAACACGAAAGUGGACGUAUAGGGUGUGACGCCUGCCCGGUGCUGGAAGAUUAAAUGAUGGGGUGCAAGCUCUUGAUUGAAGUCCCAGUAAACGGCGGCCGUAACAAUAACGGUCCUAAGGUAGCGAAAUUCCUUGUCGGGUAAGUUCCGACCUGCACGAAUGGCGUAACGAUGGCCACACUGUCUCCUCCUGAGACUCAGCGAAGUUGAAAUGUUUGUGAUGAUGCAAUCUCCCCGCGGAAAGACGGAAAGACCCCAUGAACCUUUACUGUAGCUUUGUAUUGGACUUUGAACAGAUCUGUGUAGGAUAGGUGGGAGGCUUUGAAGCAGGGUCGCUAGAUCUUGUGGAGCCAACGUUGAAAUACCACCCUGGUGUGUUUGAGGUUCUAACCUAGGUCCAUUAUCUGGAUCGGGGACAGUGCAUGGUAGGCAGUUUGACUGGGGCGGUCUCCUCCCAAAGCGUAACGGAGGAGUUCGAAGGUACGCUAGUUACGGUCGGACAUCGUGACGAUAGUGCAAUGGCAUAAGCGUGCUUAACUGCGAGACUGACAAGUCGAGCAGAUGCGAAAGCAGGACAUAGUGAUCCGGUGGUUCUGUAUGGAAGGGCCAUCGCUCAACGGAUAAAAGGUACUCUGGGGAUAACAGGCUGAUACCGCCCAAGAGUUCAUAUCGACGGCGGUGUUUGGCACCUCGAUGUCGGCUCAUCUCAUCCUGGGGCUGUAGCCGGUCCCAAGGGUAUGGCUGUUCGCCAUUUAAAGAGGUACGUGAGCUGGGUUUAAAACGUCGUGAGACAGUUUGGUCCCUAUCUUCCGUGGGCGCUGCAGAUUUGAGGAAGCCUGCUCCUAGUACGAGAGGACCGGAGUGGACACACCUCUGGUGUAUCGGUUGUCACGCCAGUGGCAUUGCCGAGUAGCUAAGUGUGGAAGAGAUAACCGCUGAAAGCAUCUAAGCGGGAAACUCGUUUCAAGAUGAGAUCUGCCGGGGCCUUGAGCCCCCUAAAGAGUCGUUCAAGACCAGGACGUUGAUAGGUCAGGUGUGGAAGCGAAAAAAAAAAA